Non-coding RNA from Galeopterus variegatus (Sunda flying lemur), 564 nucleotides. The record is from the annotation of a RefSeq genome assembly. NCBI's taxonomy places the organism in Eukaryota, Metazoa, Chordata, Mammalia, Dermoptera, Cynocephalidae.
AUGAAUGUGGAGCAGCGGAUAAAGAGAGUUUCUCUACCAGGGAUGGCCAAGACAAAUGUUAGCAGCAAUUGUGUUGGAUAUUUCUGUAUGGACGUGAUCCGCCUUUACCUGAAACAGCUCUCAGGUGUCCUGUCCGAGGUGCAGCUGCAGGAGUCGGGCCCAGGACUGGUGAAUCCCUAGUAGACCCUGUCCCUCACCUGCACAGUCUCUGGUGACUCCAUCACAACCAGUAGUUAUGACUGGAGCUGGAUCGGCCAGCUCUCAGGGAAGGGGCUGGAGUGGAUAGCAGCAAUCCGUAGUAGUGGUGGUACAGCUUAUAACUCAUCCCUCAAAAGCCACACCUCCAUCACCAGGGACACAUCCAAGAACCAGUUUUUCCUGCAGCUGAGCUCUGUGACAGAUGAGGACACAGGCGUGUAUUACUGUGCGAGAGACACAGUGACAGGAAGUCAGUGUGAGCCCAGACACAAACCUCCCUGCAGGAUACAGGAGAGGUCUGGGCUGCAGGGGGCGCUCAAGGCCCACCCAGCUCCUGUGCCCCAUGGAGCAGGCAACACAGAGUGA